UGGCGGCGUGCCUAACACAUGCAAGUCGAACGCGAAAGCCCCGCAAGGGGCAAGUAGAGUGGCAAACGGGUGAGUAACACGUGGGUGACCUGCCUUCGAGUGGGGGAUAACGUCCCGAAAGGGACGCUAAUACCGCAUGACAUCCUGUCCUUAGACGGACGGAGAUCAAAGCUGGGGAUCGCAAGACCUGGCGCUUGAAGAGGGGCCCGCGCCUGAUUAGCUAGUUGGUGAGGUAACGGCUCACCAAGGCUACGAUCAGUAUCCGGCCUGAGAGGGCGGACGGACACACUGGGACUGAGACACGGCCCAGACUCCUACGGGAGGCAGCAGUGGGGAAUUGUUCGCAAUGGGCGCAAGCCUGACGACGCAACGCCGCGUGGAGGAUGAAGAUCUUCGGGUCGUAAACUCCUGUCGAAUGGGAAGAACGUUUCGCGGAUGAAUAAGCCGCGGAAGUGACGGUACCAUUAAAGGAAGCCCCGGCUAACUCCGUGCCAGCAGCCGCGGUAAUACGGAGGGAGCUAGCGUUGUUCGGAAUUACUGGGCGUAAAGCGCGCGUAGGCGGCUUUGUAAGUUAGAGGUGAAAGCCCGGGGCUCAACCCCGGAACUGCCUUUAAGACUGCAUCGCUUGAAUCCGGGAGAGGUGAGUGGAAUUCCGAGUGUAGAGGUGAAAUUCGUAGAUAUUCGGAAGAACACCAGUGGCGAAGGCGGCUCACUGGACCGGUAUUGACGCUGAGGUGCGAAAGCG
This 745-nucleotide ribosomal RNA is filed under the name uncultured soil bacterium. RNAcentral's name for it is "bacterial SSU rRNA". It matches the Rfam family "Bacterial small subunit ribosomal RNA", at positions 37 to 761 of the family's 1533-position model. The record is from RNAcentral.